This 548-nucleotide ribosomal RNA is filed under the name uncultured Glomus. Its description in RNAcentral is "SSU rRNA". It matches the Rfam family "Eukaryotic small subunit ribosomal RNA", at positions 548 to 1098 of the family's 1831-position model. The record is from RNAcentral. Lineage: Eukaryota; Fungi; Glomeromycota; Glomeromycetes; Glomerales; Glomeraceae.
UUGGAGGGCAAGUCUGGUGCCAGCAGCCGCGGUAAUUCCAGCUCCAAUAGCGUAUAUUAAAGUUGUUGCAGUUAAAAAGCUCGUAGUUGAAUUUCGGGAUCAAUAUACCGGUCAUGCCUUGGUAUGCACUGGUAUCUUUGAUUUCUCCCUUCUGACGAACUUUGAUGUCAUUAAUUUGGUGUCAUAGGGAAUCAGGACUGUUACUUUGAAAAAAUUAGAGUGUUUAAAGCAGGCUCACGCUUGAAUACAUUAGCAUGGAAUAAUGAAAUAGGACGUUUGAUUCUAUUUUGUUGGUUUCUAGGAUCGACGUAAUGAUUAAUAGGGAUAGUUGGGGGCAUUAGUAUUCAAUUGUCAGAGGUGAAAUUCUUGGAUUUAUUGAAGACUAACUACUGCGAAAGCAUUUGCCAAGGAUGUUUUCAUUAAUCAAGAACGAAAGUUAGGGGAUCGAAGACGAUCAGAUACCGUCGUAGUCUUAACCAUAAACUAUGCCGACUAGGGAUCGGAUGAUGUUAAUUUUUUAAUGACUCAUUCGGCGCCUUACGGGAAAC